GUUCGCUGCCGCAUAGGCAGCUCAGAAA
This is a non-coding RNA of Rhodanobacter sp. SCN 67-45, 28 nucleotides long. The record is from Rfam. Lineage: Bacteria; Pseudomonadati; Pseudomonadota; Gammaproteobacteria; Lysobacterales; Rhodanobacteraceae.